This 253-nucleotide ribosomal RNA is filed under the name uncultured bacterium. RNAcentral's name for it is "partial 16S ribosomal RNA". It matches the Rfam family "Bacterial small subunit ribosomal RNA", at positions 524 to 776 of the family's 1533-position model. The record is from RNAcentral.
UACGUAGGGGGCAAGCGUUGUCCGGAUUUAUUGGGCGUAAAGAGCGUGUAGGCGGCCAAGCAGGUCAGCUGUGAAAACUCGAGGCUCAACCUCGAGACGCCGGUGGAAACCCUCAGACUAGAGUCCGGAAGAGGAGAGUGGAAUUCCUGGUGUAGCGGUGAAAUGCGCAGAUAUCAGGAAGAACACCCGUGGCGAAGGCGGCUCACUGGCCCGGUACUGACGCUGAGGUGCGAAAGCGUGGGGAGCAAACAGG